Molecule: long non-coding RNA, 946 nt
Filed under: Homo sapiens (human)
Lineage: Eukaryota; Metazoa; Chordata; Mammalia; Primates; Hominidae
Description: HSALNT0119586
Source: RNAcentral
CUCCUCCCGCUGCAAACGCGCGAACUUCUGUGGCUCGAUCCCAGUGCGCACUCCUCCCAGUGCACUGGCCGGUUGGAGUUUUGCCAGGGAGGCCUUCCCACCUGCCUGUCUCAAUGGAAAGAAUAUGUGGAUUUGGAUUCAGGGACACCUUUAUCACCUAUGUGACUUUAGGAGUCAAUGAAGCAAGUUCAUGAGACUCUGAGGCAAGGACACCAAACCAGGGGUUUUAGCUCCUACCCAUGGUACUGGCUAAUAUAUCUGACCACACUGGCUCUGCAAGACCAUGGCUGAAGACUGCUUAAAUGUUGUCCCUGAGUCAAUAUCUUAACAUUUAUUGCAUCUUUUAUUUUCUUAACAAAAAUGAAGGCAUUUGUGACUGUGUUGUUUUCCAUCAAAAAUUGGGAAUCAUGCCCUUUCAUACAACACAGUUGUGACACAAUUUGUUGAAGUGAAAGAACACUGGAACAGAAACAAGAAUACCUGAGAUGGAGACUCACCUCUUACCAUCAAUCUAGUGUUGACUUUGGGUCCAUCUUUUCUUCUGGGGUAGUAGAAAGAUCAAGAUCAUCAGAGAACGUAGGGUGCAAUAUCAGCUCUCCAGUACCAAACACGGUUCAUUAACCUCUCGGAACCUCAGGUGUCUUGGGGCAUAGUUCAUGUCUCCUGGCCCAUCUCACAGGAUUAUCAGGAGGACGAAUGAGAUAAUUCUCAGGCUAAAGAAAAUAUCACCUAAUGCUUCUGAUAUACAGAAUUGUGUGCUGCAAAUGGUUGAAAAGAUUUUAGUUUCAACACCUAAUUCCCAUCAUUCUGUGGCAAAAUAUAUCUUGAGUUCUGAUGGGCGCCAGAACAACAUCUGAAGAUUGAAUGAAACUUCUAAAGGUGAGUGAUAACAAGGCCCGUCCUGUACUUCACAGAAGACUUCUGAGGGUCAAAGAGAAGAUUUAUA